Molecule: long non-coding RNA, 453 nt
Filed under: Mytilus galloprovincialis (Mediterranean mussel)
Lineage: Eukaryota; Metazoa; Mollusca; Bivalvia; Mytilida; Mytilidae
Source: RNAcentral
UGGCAAGAUUAAGGGGUCAUGAUCCGUUCCUGUAUUGUACGUCGGAUCAUAUUAGUUUUUUACUUUCCUGCGUUACCGCAGGAAGUUCUGUUGAGACCAUCUCAUGUCUACCCUGAGUGGCCGGUUCUGAAUUGGUACCAGUUCGAGCUUAACUGUUUGUUGAUCUAGAAAUUGUUAAAUUGUUAAUCUUUACUCCCCUGAAACCAGGGGGUGAUGCGAAUAAGACCCGACGUAUUUGGGGAUCAUGGCCCUCGUUCUCUUUAGGAUUUAACCUGGAGGAACUUGAGCAUCCAUUGCUACCAAUGGUGCACAGAUUUGUCAGUUAAAUCAAUCAUGUCGGCAUUCUGUUAUCAUGUCAGACCUCGUCAUUCAAAGUGAACUGUGGCCGUUAAUUCCACAUAAAUUGCUUGUUUGUUAUGCUUUGCCUUAAACUUGAUUCUUUAAUUAAAUAAG